RNAcentral lists this ribosomal RNA (497 nucleotides) under uncultured bacterium. RNAcentral's name for it is "partial 16S ribosomal RNA". It matches the Rfam family "Bacterial small subunit ribosomal RNA", at positions 28 to 507 of the family's 1533-position model. The record is from RNAcentral.
GAUGAACGCUGGCGGCGUGCCUAAUACAUGCAAGUCGAGCGAACAGACGAGGAGCUUGCUCCUCUGACGUUAGCGGCGGACGGGUGAGUAACACGUGGAUAACCUACCUAUAAGACUGGGAUAACUUCGGGAAACCGGAGCUAAUACCGGAUCAUAUAUUGAACCGCAUGGUUCAAUAGUGAAAGACGGUUUUGCUGUCACUUAUAGAUGGAUCCGCGCCGCAUUAGCUAGUUGGUAAGGUAACGGCUUACCAAGGCAACGAUGCGUAGCCGACCUGAGAGGGUGAUCGGCCACACUGGAACUGAGACACGGUCCAGACUCCUACGGGAGGCAGCAGUAGGGAAUCUUCCGCAAUGGGCGAAAGCCUGACGGAGCAACGCCGCGUGAGGGAUGAAGGUCUUCGGAUCGGAAAACUCUGUUAUUAGGGAAGAACAAAUGUGUAAGUAACUAUGCACGUCUUGACGGUACCUAAUCAGAAAGCCACGGCUAACUACGUG